This 909-nucleotide ribosomal RNA is filed under the name uncultured bacterium. Its description in RNAcentral is "bacterial SSU rRNA". It matches the Rfam family "Bacterial small subunit ribosomal RNA", at positions 57 to 931 of the family's 1533-position model. The record is from RNAcentral.
GCAGUCGAACGAACUCUGGUAUUGAUUGGUGCUUGCAUCAUGAUUUACAUUUGAGUGAGUGGCGAACUGGUGAGUAACACGUGGGAAACCUGCCCAGAAGCGGGGGAUAACACCUGGAAACAGAUGCUAAUACCGCAUAACAACUUGGACCGCAUGGUCCGAGUUUGAAAGAUGGCUUCGGCUAUCACUUUUGGAUGGUCCCGCGGCGUAUUAGCUAGAUGGUGGGGUAACGGCUCACCAUGGCAAUGAUACGUAGCCGACCUGAGAGGGUAAUCGGCCACAUUGGGACUGAGACACGGCCCAAACUCCUACGGGAGGCAGCAGUAGGGAAUCUUCCACAAUGGACGAAAGUCUGAUGGAGCAACGCCGCGUGAGUGAAGAAGGGUUUCGGCUCGUAAAACUCUGUUGUUAAAGAAGAACAUAUCUGAGAGUAACUGUUCAGGUAUUGACGGUAUUUAACCAGAAAGCCACGGCUAACUACGUGCCAGCAGCCGCGGUAAUACGUAGGUGGCAAGCGUUGUCCGGAUUUAUUGGGCGUAAAGCGAGCGCAGGCGGUUUUUUAAGUCUGAUGUGAAAGCCUUCGGCUCAACCGAAGAAGUGCAUCGGAAACUGGGAAACUUGAGUGCAGAAGAGGACAGUGGAACUCCAUGUGUAGCGGUGAAAUGCGUAGAUAUAUGGAAGAACACCAGUGGCGAAGGCGGCUGUCUGGUCUGUAACUGACGCUGAGGCUCGAAAGUAUGGGUAGCAAACAGGAUUAGAUACCCUGGUAGUCCAUACCGUAAACGAUGAAUGCUAAGUGUUGGAGGGUUUCCGCCCUUCAGUGCUGCAGCUAACGCAUUAAGCAUUCCGCCUGGGGAGUACGGCCGCAAGGCUGAAACUCAAAGGAAUUGACGGGGGCCCGCACAAGCG